ACAGCCAUAUUACCUUGAACACAGCCAAAUUUGCAUGAUCAUGGAAGCUUAGCAGGGUUGGUCCUGCUUAGUACUUGGAUAGGAGAUUGUGUGGGAAUAAGAAAAGAUCUUUU
This 113-nucleotide ribosomal RNA is filed under the name Notamacropus eugenii (tammar wallaby). The record is from RNAcentral. Lineage: Eukaryota; Metazoa; Chordata; Mammalia; Diprotodontia; Macropodidae.